GGAAUCUUAAAAUAGUUUAUCUGCUUCCCCUUAGUUAAUAGAAUACACAGGGUUAUAAAUUCCCAUACCUUUUUCCCUACCAAUUUUCAUUAUAAAAGCAACUGGUUGUUACCCAAACAGUAUAAAAGUUCAAUUUUUUCAUAAAGAUGAACUUAAAAUUUUCUCUGAUUGAUAUAUGAAAAUAAACCAAUUUUUAGAGGAACUUAUUCACAAAUAACUAUUACGAAUUUAUAAAGUAUAAUUUGCUUUUUGGUUAGGAUCUUUGGAUCAAUGGGAUUAAAAAUAGAAGAGGUAUAGCUGACAAUCAUGUGUCAUUUCAACUUUUUCCCCCCACACUAAAAGUAACCUAACUCUGAGGGGUAAAAUUAUCAUGGCACUUUAA
This 382-nucleotide long non-coding RNA is filed under the name Bos taurus (domestic cattle). RNAcentral's name for it is "long non-coding RNA NONBTAT011366". The record is from RNAcentral. Lineage: Eukaryota; Metazoa; Chordata; Mammalia; Artiodactyla; Bovidae.